This is a long non-coding RNA of Drosophila biarmipes, 209 nucleotides long. RefSeq lists it as uncharacterized. Lineage: Eukaryota; Metazoa; Arthropoda; Insecta; Diptera; Drosophilidae. The record is from RefSeq and is a predicted model, not a curated record. The transcript is spliced from 2 exons.
ACCAAACCGAGGUCUAAUAUCUCCCACUUAUUCUACACCUCUUAUGUCUCCUUACACUGCCAGAUUAGAGUCAAGCUCAAAAGGGGUCUUCUUUCCCCGCUAAUUAUUCCAAGCCCGUUCCCUUGGCUGUGGUUUCGCUAGAUAGUAGAUAGGGACAGUAGGAAUCUCGUUAAUCCAUUCAUGCGCGUCACUAAUUAGAUGACGAGGCA